GAUGAACGCUAGCGGCAGGCUUAACACAUGCAAGUCGAGGGGCAGCAGGGAGUAGCAAUACUCUGCUGGCGACCGGCGCACGGGUGCGUAACGCGUAUGCAACCUGCCUCACACAGGGGGAUAACAGUUGGAAACGGCUGUUAAUACCGCAUAAGACCACAGUACCGCAUGGUACAGGGGUAAAAACUCCGGUGGUGUGAGAUGGACCCGCGUCUGAUUAGUUAGUUGGCGGGGUAACGGCCCACCAAGACGACGAUCAGUAGCCGAUCCGAGAGGAUGACCGGCCACAUUGGGACUGAGACACGGCCCAAACUCC
RNAcentral lists this ribosomal RNA (316 nucleotides) under uncultured Moryella sp. Its description in RNAcentral is "bacterial SSU rRNA". It matches the Rfam family "Bacterial small subunit ribosomal RNA", at positions 28 to 339 of the family's 1533-position model. Lineage: Bacteria; Bacillati; Bacillota; Clostridia; Lachnospirales; Lachnospiraceae. The record is from RNAcentral.